UAUGCAAAAACAAGAAGAAGAAAACAAGCGCUCUCUCUAUUAGGCUCGAUAUAUUUGGUUGGCCAUUUUCUGACAUACCCCUCUCAGACACUGACAUACACUGACAAAACCGCCUUCUGCUCAGUUUUACCUCAUAUUUUGAACAUUCAACAUUCAACAACAUAAAUGAUUCUACUGACUACAGUGUUGUUCUGGCUUGGAGGCCAGCUGCUGCUACCAAUUCCAGAGUGAUGGCUGGGGACCCAAACACCAAGCCCUUAUGUCUUUGUGGGAUGCAUGGCAUUCCCUCUGAGGGUAAACCGGAUGCAACCAUAUCCAGGGUCUUCUGGCCUUGAUGACACUAAGAUCUACAGCUACUGCCACUCAAGAACCAGAAGAAUUUCAGAGAACUGCUUUGGGAUCCUUGCUACAAGACGUGAGGAUCCUAUAGAAAUCUGAGACCAUUGUGAAGGCCUGCAAUGCCCUCCACAAUUACCUGCACCACAGACACUAGACAUUGACAACACAGUCAUCAACACAGUACAUCCACCCCAUGUUUGUUGACCACUCCAUAACCACUGGGGACCUGUGUCCAGGAGAGUGAAGACAGCUUCCUGGACCAAAAAACAUGUAAAUGUUGGGAGUGUGGAUUGGAAAACGUGUUUACAUACAUUCUCUU
This is a non-coding RNA of Oncorhynchus mykiss (rainbow trout), 658 nucleotides long. NCBI's taxonomy places the organism in Eukaryota, Metazoa, Chordata, Actinopteri, Salmoniformes, Salmonidae. The record is from RefSeq and is a predicted model, not a curated record.